GACGAACGCUGGCGGCGUGCUUAACACAUGCAAGUCGGACGGGAUUCUACUAGCAAAGUGGAAUAGUUUACUAUGAAGCGGAGCAGGUAGAAUUUAGUGGCGGACGGGUGAGUAACGCGUGAGGAUCUAUCCAUUACUGGGGGACAACAGCUGGAAACGGCUGCUAAUACCGCAUAAGCCUUCGGGUGAAAGAAGUAAUUCGGUAUAGGAGGAACUCGCGUCCUAUCAGCUAGUAGGUGGGGUAACGGCCCACCUAGGCGAAGACGGGUAGCCGGCCUGAGAGGGCGCACGGCCACACUGGAACUGAGAUACGGUCCAGACUCCUACGGGAGGCAGCAGUGGGGAAUAUUGGGCAAUGGGCGGAAGCCUGACCCAGCGACGCCGCGUGAAUGAAGAAAUCCUUCGGGAUGUAAAGUUCUGUUGUACGGGAAGAGCGAGAGACGGUACCGUACGAGGAAGCCCCGGCAAACUACGUGCCAGCCGCCGCAGUAACAC
This 495-nucleotide ribosomal RNA is filed under the name uncultured bacterium. RNAcentral describes it as "bacterial SSU rRNA". It matches the Rfam family "Bacterial small subunit ribosomal RNA", at positions 28 to 526 of the family's 1533-position model. The record is from RNAcentral.